AAAAUAAACAAAAAAAAUACCAAAUCAGGGUUCGGCCGUUUCCAACAAUUCGCGUUAACAAUCCCAAACCUCCACCACAUCACAUUCAUCAUCCAACUUGGCUUCCUUCCGCCGCUGCUUUUAAAUUCAACUUCCCUUCACUAUCGAAAUUUGCGCUUUCCAAUUCUAAAUUCCAAUCCCAAUUUUCUCUCUUCUUCAGAUUCUUCUCUCCUGUAACAAUCUUUCCGGAUCUCCUUCCAAUUGCCCUUCUCUCUUCUGGGUUCCUCCGCCACUGCAUUCUUGUGAAACCGAGGAGGCACCUGUUGGUUUUGCUUGUUCAAUUCUUUUUUCCAGUAAAUGGGCUGUGUUCCGUCUAAAGGAAGAAGGCAGUGCCCUGGAUACGAGGAUCCUGUUUUCCUUGCUUCACAAACGACCUUUAGUGUCAGUGAAGUUGAAGCUUUAUUCGAGCUUUUUAAAAGCAUCAGCAGCUCAGUGAUAGAUGAUGGGCUAAUAAACAAGGAAGAAUUUGUGUUGGCUCUUUUCAAGAACAGGAAGAAAGAAAACCUCUUCGCAAGCCGGAUCUUUGAUCUAUUCGAUGUAAAGCAUAAAGGAGUUAUUGAUUUCGGCGACUUUGUACGAGCGCUCCAUAUAUUCCAUCCAAAUACUUCUUUGGAAGAUAAGAUAAAUUUUUCAUUUAGGUUGUAUGACUUAGAUAAUACGGGCUUUAUUGAGCGACAAGAGGUUAAGCAAAUGUUAUUAGCACUUCUUGGUGAAUCUGAAAUGAAGUUGGCUGAUGAGACCAUCGAAGCGAUCCUUGAUAAGAAUCAUGAAAAACUUCUUUGUGUCUUCACAGACGUUUUUGGAAGCUGAUACGAACCAAGAUGGGAAGAUCGACUUGUCAGAAUGGCAAUAUUUUGUUUCCAAGAACCCGUCGUUAUUAAGGAUCAUGACACUCCCUUAUUUAAGGGAUAUAACCACAGCAUUCCCAAGUUUUGUGUUUUAUUCUGAGGUUGAUGAGGCUGCUGCCUGAAAGUACAUAGAAUUGGAAUUGUGAUUAGCUAGAUUAACUUGUAAUGGCAUAUCGUAUUUUUGUUAUUCUUGGAAACCAAACAGUUUGAGGUGAAGAAGAUGAAAUAAGGAGGAAAAAAGGAAAAAAAAAAAAAAAAGUAGGAUUUUAGAUUUUAUUUUUAUUAGAAUAAUUUUUCAUCAGAGCCUUUGGGAGAAGUCCCUGUGUUGGCAUAUAAUAAUGUGUGGCUCAGUUUUGUGUAAAACAUCUUCAUCUCUGUCAUCUAA
Molecule: non-coding RNA, 1272 nt
Organism: Benincasa hispida (wax gourd)
Lineage: Eukaryota; Viridiplantae; Streptophyta; Magnoliopsida; Cucurbitales; Cucurbitaceae
Source: RefSeq, a predicted model, not a curated record